UAUCAAUAAGCVGAGGAAAAGAAACCAACAGGGAUUGCCUCAGUAACGGCGAGUGAAGCGGCAACAGCUCAAAUUUGAAAUCUGGCCUCGGCCCGAGUUGUAAUUUGCAGAGGAUGCUUCUGGCAACGUGCCUUCCGAGUCCCCUGGAACGGGGCGCCGGAGAGGGUGAGAGCCCCGUACGGUUGGACGCCGCGCCUGUGUGAAGCUCCUUCGACGAGUCGAGUAGUUUGGGAAUGCUGCUCUAAGCGGGAGGUAAAUUCCUUCUAAAGCUAAAUACCGGCCAGAGACCGAUAGCGCACAAGUAGAGUGAUCGAAAGAUGAAAAGCACUUUGGAAAGAGGGUUAAAAAGUACGUGAAAUUGCUGAAAGGGAAGCGCCUGCGACCAGACUCGCGCCGGGCGAAUCAUCCAGCGUUCUCGCUGGUGCACUUCGCCCGGUCCGGGCCAGCAUCGGUUCUACGGGGGGACAAAAGCCCGGGAAAUGUAGCUCCCUCCGGGGAGUGUUAUAGUCCCUCGCCUAAUACCCCCGCCGGGACCGAGGACCGCGCUUUACGCAAGGAUGCUGGCAUAAUGGUCGUCGGCG
RNAcentral lists this ribosomal RNA (581 nucleotides) under Lulworthia sp. PP2597. RNAcentral describes it as "eukaryotic LSU rRNA". It matches the Rfam family "Eukaryotic large subunit ribosomal RNA", at positions 41 to 646 of the family's 3401-position model. The record is from RNAcentral. Lineage: Eukaryota; Fungi; Ascomycota; Sordariomycetes; Lulworthiales; Lulworthiaceae.